AGAGUUUGAUCCUGGCUCAGGAUGAACGCUGGCGGCGUGCCUAACACAUGCAAGUCGAGCGAUUCUCUUCGGAGAAGAGCGGCGGACGGGUGAGUAACGCGUGGGUAACCUGCCCUGUACACACGGAUAACAUACCGAAAGGUAUGCUAAUACGGGAUAAUAUAAGAAAUUCGCAUGUUUUUCUUAUCAAAGCUCCGGCGGUACAGGAUGGACCCGCGUCUGAUUAGCUAGUUGGUGAGGUAACGGCUCACCAAGGCGACGAUCAGUAGCCGACCUGAGAGGGUGAUCGGCCACAUUGGAACUGAGACACGGUCCAAACUCCUACGGGAGGCAGCAGUGGGGAAUAUUGCACAAUGGGCGAAAGCCUGAUGCAGCAACGCCGCGUGAGCGAUGAAGGCCUUCGGGUCGUAAAGCUCUGUCCUCAAGGAAGAUAAUGACGGUACUUGAGGAGGAAGCCCCGGCUAACUACGUGCCAGCAGCCGCGGUAAUACGUAGGGGGCUAGCGUUAUCCGGAUUUACUGGGCGUAAAGGGUGCGUAGGCGGUCUUUUAAGUCAGGAGUGAAAGGCUACGGCUCAACCGUAGUAAGCUCUUGAAACUGGAGGACUUGAGUGCAGGAGAGGAGAGUGGAAUUCCUAGUGUAGCGGUGAAAUGCGUAGAUAUUAGGAGGAACACCAGUAGCGAAGGCGGCUCUCUGGACUGUAACUGACGCUGAGGCACGAAAGCGUGGGGAGCAAACAGGAUUAGAUACCCUGGUAGUCCACGCCGUAAACGAUGAGUACUAGCUGUCGGAGGUUACCCCCUUCGGUGGCGCAGCUAACGCAUUAAGUACUCCGCCUGGGGAGUACGCUCGCAAGAGUGAAACUCAAAGGAAUUGACGGGGACCCGCACAAGUAGCGGAGCAUGUGGUUUAAUUCGAAGCAACGCGAAGAGCCUUACCUAAGCUUGACAUCCUUUUGACCGAUGCCUAAUCGCAUCUUUCCCUUCGGGGACAGAAGUGACAGGUGGUGCAUGGUUGUCGUCAGCUCGUGUCGUGAGAUGUUGGGUUAAGUCCCGCAACGAGCGCAACCCUUGCCUUUAGUUGCCAUCAUUAAGUUGGGCACUCUAGAGGGACUGCCAGGGAUAACCUGGAGGAAGGUGGGGAUGACGUCAAAUCAUCAUGCCCCUUAUGCUUAGGGCUACACACGUGCUACAAUGGGUGGUACAGAGGGCAGCGAAGUCGUGAGGCCAAGCUAAUCCCUUAAAGCCAUUCUCAGUUCGGAUUGUAGGCUGAAACUCGCCUACAUGAAGCUGGAGUUACUAGUAAUCGCAGAUCAGAAUGCUGCGGCGAAUGCGUUCCCGGGUCUUGUACACACCGCCCGUCACACCAUGGGAGUUGGGGGCGCCCGAAGCCGGCUAGCUAACCUUUUGGAAGCGGUCGUCGAAGGUGAAACCAAUAACUGGGGUGAAGUCGUAACAAGGUA
This 1461-nucleotide ribosomal RNA is filed under the name metagenome. Its description in RNAcentral is "bacterial SSU rRNA". It matches the Rfam family "Bacterial small subunit ribosomal RNA". The record is from RNAcentral.